UUGAACUACUGACCUCAGGUGGUCCACCUGCCUCAGCCUCCCAAAGCGCUGGGAUUACAGGCAUGUGUCACAGCGCCCAGCCCUCUGGUUUCUUUUAUCAACGAACUUUUUAGGAAUAAAAGCAACUACUCUUGCUUUAUUUAUGGCUUUGUUUUCUCCCUUUAUGCCUCUUUCGUCUGAGACCUUCUCUUUCAGUCUGUUCCCUGGAUUAACAUGCACAAUCUGAUGAUGCCUUUCUAUAGAAAGUAUUUCUGUAUAAAUACUGGUUCACAAACCUACAGAAUGCACAGGAGUGCGAAGUAAGCACAGAAGUUUGUAUCACUGGGAGGGAAGGAAUAAUCACAGCGUUCCAGCCCUAAACGGGAGGCCAAGGUAACAAUAUAUAGCCUUUACUGAGCACUUACUAUGUGCCAGGCAAGGUUCUAAUGCUUUACAGUAUAUAUUUACUAACUCAUUUCGUCCCAACAGUCACUCUAUCAGGUAAGAGAAAUGAAACCGAAGCAACUUGUUCAAGACCACACAGCAGAGCUGAUUCCAGUGCCUGUGUUCUGUACUAUCACAUCCUCUUAGUCACUGAAUUCUUCUGAUUAAUUUGGGAACAUUUCCUGCCGCAAACGAGUGAGUCAAGAGGAAUGAGGAAACAGAUUUUCGAGAUAUUAAGUAAUUUGCCCAAAGUCACCCAGCUAGCAAGCAGAGGAGCUGGGGCUGUUUGAAUCCAAAGUCCAUGACACUCCUGACCGCUGCUCAAUGCUGCCCCACGAGAACGACCAGCUGGGAAGACCCGGCUGAAAAUUCAGAGAACGUCAAGCCCAGGGAAAUGGGACGGAUCCCAGUUAGCCCGCGGCUCCGAUCUCGUCCCACACCAGAGCCUCGGGGCGAGAGAGGAAGCGGCUCCGGACGGAUGGCAAAGUGACCAUCGGAGAAGGGCAGGCAGCCUUUCCUCCCGGGGGAGCGGAGGGGACCUGCGGAGGGCGGAUUCUCUCGGCUUUUCCUGUCCCACCCCGUCGGCCUGCCCCCCACCCCCUCCGGCCUCUACGCCAA
This is a long non-coding RNA of Sapajus apella (tufted capuchin), 1041 nucleotides long. RefSeq lists it as uncharacterized. Lineage: Eukaryota; Metazoa; Chordata; Mammalia; Primates; Cebidae. The transcript is spliced from 3 exons. The record is from RefSeq and is a predicted model, not a curated record.